RNAcentral lists this ribosomal RNA (317 nucleotides) under Chloeia viridis. RNAcentral describes it as "partial 16S ribosomal RNA". It matches the Rfam family "Bacterial large subunit ribosomal RNA", at positions 1993 to 2535 of the family's 2925-position model. Lineage: Eukaryota; Metazoa; Annelida; Polychaeta; Eunicida; Amphinomidae. The record is from RNAcentral.
CGAACGCACGUGAGCCUAGCUGUCUCUGUGAAAAACAAGAAACUUAACCUUCAGGUGAAAAGGCCUGAAUUUUUCUAAUAGACAAGAAGACCCUAUCGAGCUUUAUUAUUCUUCAACAAAAUAAACUAUUUAUACACUUUCUUAGCUUGUUUACUAAUUUAGUUGGGGCAACUGGGGAACACCUAAAGCUUCUCCUAUCUCUUUAAAUCUACAUAGACCCAGAGUAUCUGAUCAACGGAAAAAGCUACCGUAGGGAUAACAGGUUAAUUUUUCUCGAGAGUCCACAUUGACAGAAAAGUUUGGCACCUCGAUGUUGG